RNAcentral lists this ribosomal RNA (204 nucleotides) under uncultured bacterium. RNAcentral describes it as "partial 16S ribosomal RNA". It matches the Rfam family "Bacterial small subunit ribosomal RNA", at positions 570 to 773 of the family's 1533-position model. The record is from RNAcentral.
CGUAGGCGGUUAAAUAAGUCAGAUGUGAAAGCCCCGGGCUCAACCUGGGAACUGCAUUUGAAACUGUUUAGCUAGAGUGUGGUAGAGGAGAGUGGAAUUUCAGGUGUAGCGGUGAAAUGCGUAGAUAUCUGAGGGAACAUCAGUGGCGAAGGCGGCUCUCUGGACCAACACUGACGCUGAGGUGCGAAAGCGUGGGUAGCAAAC